GCCGGGCGGGGUGUUGCACGCCUGUCAUCCCAGGAACCCUGGAGGCUGAGGUGGGAGGAUCGCAAGUUCGAGGCCAGUCUCAGCAACUAAGCGAGGCCCUGAGCAACUUAGUGAGAUCCUGUCCA
This 125-nucleotide small RNA is filed under the name Marmota monax (woodchuck). The record is from RNAcentral. Lineage: Eukaryota; Metazoa; Chordata; Mammalia; Rodentia; Sciuridae.